Molecule: long non-coding RNA, 716 nt
Filed under: Coturnix japonica (Japanese quail)
Lineage: Eukaryota; Metazoa; Chordata; Aves; Galliformes; Phasianidae
Description: lncRNA (ENSCJPG00005010083.1)
Source: RNAcentral
UUUGGAAUGGGAAAGUAUCUUUUUUUUCUUCCUUGAAUCCUUGGGAAUUUCUAUAUGGAUACAGUUAAAAACUCAUCAUGAAGAUGAAAAAGUUCAUAUUACUCUUAAUUUGUUGUCUCUAAUUUUUAGCUUUUUUUCACGACCUCAAUUUGGAGAUUCAAAGCCAUCAUUAUUCUGGCCAAUGUUUUUCUCUAGAAGUCUUCUGUCUCACAAACAGGCCAAGUGUUUGAGGGAUCUUUUCCAUCACUUGCAGACCUAAAGGAUAAGAUGAAGCUUAUCUUUAUUCUGAUCCCCUGACUCACUCUCCAGAGUAUUUUGAUUUCAAUGUAGUCUUGACUGAUGAGACUGCUUAUGGAGAAAGGCCAAGGCUGAGCCACUCUUGACACCAGAGGCUUUUGGAAGUCAGCAGUAUUGAAAGAGUAACUACUCAUCAGGGAAAGACUCUUCUGAAAGAACUCUACUUUCCUGCUUUGCACAGUUCCUGAGAUGCAUGUGUCUAUCUAUCUCAGCAUUAAGUUCAAAUUUACUCUAUGCACUGAAGAAAGGUAAGUAGAGAGGCAAAGGUGGUUAAGAUGCUCUUUGAUAUUUGGAAGACCUUUGUUUAGUUCUCUGCUCCAAGACAGGCUCCCCAUUUGACCCCAAGGCAGGCCUUAACCCUGCAGUGUUUCAUUUGUAAAACAGUCAGGGUAUCACAGAGCUCCUACACAGGAAUGCAG